RNAcentral lists this ribosomal RNA (528 nucleotides) under uncultured euryarchaeote. RNAcentral's name for it is "bacterial SSU rRNA". It matches the Rfam family "Archaeal small subunit ribosomal RNA", at positions 339 to 868 of the family's 1478-position model. The record is from RNAcentral. Lineage: Archaea; Methanobacteriati; Methanobacteriota.
GCGCGAAACCUUUACAAUGCACGCAAGUGUGAUAAGGGAAUCCCCAGUGCUCACGUACUGCGUGGGCUUUUGCCAAGUGUAAAUAGCUUGGCGAAUAAGUGGUGGGUAAGACUGGUGCCAGCCGCCGCGGUAACACCAGCGCCACGAGUGGUAACCGCGAUUAUUGGGCCUAAAGCGUCCGUAGCCGGGUUGAUAAAUCCUUUGUGAAAUUGUGCGGCUCAACCGAACAACGUGCAAGGGACACUGUUAACCUCGAGACCGGGAGGAGUCAGAAGUAUUCCUGAGGGAGCGGUAAAAUGUUAUAAUCUCAGGAGGACUACCUGUGGCGAAGGCGUCUGACCAGAACGGAUCUGACGGUGAGGGACGAAAGCCAGGGGAGCGAACCGGAUUAGAUACCCGAGUAGUCCUGGCCGUAAACGCUGUGAGCUAGGUGUUGCACCAGCGACCUGCUGGUGCAGUGUCGAAAGGAAGCUGUUAAGCUCACCGCCUGGGAAGUACGGUCGCAAGACUGAAACUUUAAGGAAUUGG